RNAcentral lists this ribosomal RNA (1431 nucleotides) under uncultured organism. RNAcentral describes it as "16S ribosomal RNA". It matches the Rfam family "Bacterial small subunit ribosomal RNA". The record is from RNAcentral.
GGCGUGCUUAACACAUGCAAGUCGAACGGAAAGGCCCUGCUUUUGUGGGGUGCUCGAGUGGCGAACGGGUGAGUAACACGUGAGUAACCUGCCCUUGACUUUGGGAUAACUUCAGGAAACUGGGGCUAAUACCGGAUAGGAGCUCCUGCUGCAUGGUGGGGGUUGGAAAGUUUCGGCGGUUGGGGAUGGACUCGCGGCUUAUCAGCUUGUUGGUGGGGUAGUGGCUUACCAAGGCUUUGACGGGUAGCCGGCCUGAGAGGGUGACCGGCCACAUUGGGACUGAGAUACGGCCCAGACUCCUACGGGAGGCAGCAGUGGGGAAUAUUGCACAAUGGGCGGAAGCCUGAUGCAGCAACGCCGCGUGCGGGAUGACGGCCUUCGGGUUGUAAACCGCUUUCGCCUGUGACGAAGCGUGAGUGACGGUAAUGGGUAAAGAAGCACCGGCUGACUACGUGCCAGCAGCCGCGGUGAUACGUAGGGUGCGAGCGUUGUCCGGAUUUAUUGGGCGUAAAGGGCUCGUAGGUGGUUGAUCGCGUCGGAAGUGUAAUCUUGGGGCUUAACCCUGAGCGUGCUUUCGAUACGGGUUGACUUGAGGAAGGUAGGGGAGAAUGGAAUUCCUGGUGGAGCGGUGGAAUGCGCAGAUAUCAGGAGGAACACCAGUGGCGAAGGCGGUUCUCUGGGCCUUUCCUGACGCUGAGGAGCGAAAGCGUGGGGAGCGAACAGGCUUAGAUACCCUGGUAGUCCACGCUGUAAACGGUGGGUACUAGGUGUGGGGUCCAUUCCACGGGCUCCGUGCCGUAGCUAACGCUUUAAGUACCCCGCCUGGGGAGUACGGCCGCAAGGCUAAAACUCAAAGGAAUUGACGGGGCCCCGCACAAGCGGCGGAGCAUGCGGAUUAAUUCGAUGCAACGCGUAGAACCUUACCUGGGUUUGACAUGGAUCGGGAGUGCUCAGAGAUGGGUGUGCCUCUUUUGGGGUCGGUUCACAGGUGGUGCAUGGCUGUCGUCAGCUCGUGUCGUGAGAUGUUGGGUUAAGUCCCGCAACGAGCGCAACCCUUGUUCACUGUUGCCAGCACGUUAUGGUGGGGACUCAGUGGAGACCGCCGGGGUCAACUCGGAGGAAGGUGGGGAUGACGUCAAGUCAUCAUGCCCCUUAUGUCCAGGGCUUCACGCAUGCUACAAUGGCUGGUACAGAGAGUGGCGAGCCUGUGAGGGUGAGCGAAUCUCGGAAAGCCGGUCUCAGUUCGGAUUGGGGUCUGCAACUCGACCUCAUGAAGUCGGAGUCGCUAGUAAUCGCAGAUCAGCAACGCUGCGGUGAAUACGUUCCCGGGGCUUGUACACACCGCCCGUCAAGUCAUGAAAGUUGGUAACACCCGAAGCCGGUGGCCUAACCGUUGUGGGGGAGCCGUCGAAGGUGGGACUGGUGAUUAGG